RNAcentral lists this ribosomal RNA (253 nucleotides) under uncultured bacterium. RNAcentral describes it as "partial 16S ribosomal RNA". It matches the Rfam family "Bacterial small subunit ribosomal RNA", at positions 524 to 776 of the family's 1533-position model. The record is from RNAcentral.
UACGUAGGGUGCGAGCGUUAACCGGAAUUACUGGGCGUAAAGUGUGCGCAGGUGGCCGCGCAAGUCGAGUGUGAAAUCCCCGAGCUUAACUUGGGAAUUGCGCUCGAAACUACGUGGCUCGAGUGUGGCAGAGGAAGGUGGAAUUCCACGUGUAGCGGUGAAAUGCGUAGAGAUGUGGAGGAACACCGAUGGCGAAGGCAGCCUUCUGGGCCAACACUGACGCUCAUGCACGAAAGCGUGGGGAGCAAACGGG